Molecule: ribosomal RNA, 500 nt
Filed under: uncultured bacterium
Lineage: Bacteria
Description: partial 16S ribosomal RNA
Rfam family: Bacterial small subunit ribosomal RNA
Source: RNAcentral
AUAGAACGCUGGCGGAAUGCUUUACACAUGCAAGUCGAACGGCAGCACGGACUUCGGUCUGGUGGCGAGUGGCGAACGGGUGAGUAACAUAUCGGAACGUAUCCAAUAAUGGGGGAUAACUAAUCGAAAGGUUGGCUAAUACCGCAUACGCCCUACGGGGGAAAGCUAGGGACCUUCGGGCCUGGCGUUAAUGGAGCGGCCGAUAUCUGAUUAGCUAGUUGGUGGGGUAAAGGCCCACCAAGGCGACGAUCAGUAGCUGGUCUGAGAGGACGACCAGCCACACUGGAACUGAGACACGGUCCAGACUCCUACGGGAGGCAGCAGUGGGGAAUUUUGGACAAUGGGCGCAAGCCUGAUCCAGCCAUUCCGCGUGAGUGAAGAAGGCCUUCGGGUUGUAAAGCUCUUUCGCAAGGGAAGAAAACUUAGCCUCUAACAUAGGCUGAGGUUGACGGUACCUUGAUAAGAAGCACCGGCUAACUACGUGCCAGCAGCCGCCGUAA